CACGUAGGGCGCAAGCGUUGUCCGGAAUUAUUGGGCGUAAAGAGCUCGUAGGCGGUCUGUUGCGUCCGCUGUGAAAACUCGGGGCUUAACCCCGAGCCUGCAGUGGAUACGGGCAGACUAGAGGUAGGUAGGGGAGAAUGGAAUUCCCGGUGUAGCGGUGAAAUUCGUAGAUAUCGGGAGGAACACCAGUGGCGAAGGCGGCGAUCUGGGUCGAUACUGACGCUGAGGUGCGAAAGCGUGGGGAGCAAACAGG
RNAcentral lists this ribosomal RNA (253 nucleotides) under uncultured bacterium. RNAcentral describes it as "partial 16S ribosomal RNA". It matches the Rfam family "Bacterial small subunit ribosomal RNA", at positions 524 to 776 of the family's 1533-position model. The record is from RNAcentral.